CCUACGGGAGGCAGCAGUGGGGAAUAUUGCACAAUGGGCGAAAGCCUGAUGCAGCGACGCCGCGUGAGGGAUGACGGCCUUCGGGUUGUAAACCUCUUUCAGCAGGGAAGAAGCGAAAGUGACGGUACCUGCAGAAGAAGCGCCGGCUAACUACGUGCCAGCAGCCGCGGUAAUACGUAGGGCGCAAGCGUUGUCCGGAAUUAUUGGGCGUAAAGAGCUCGUAGGCGGCUUGUCACGUCGGGUGUGAAAGCCCGGGGCUUAACCCCGGGUCUGCAUUCGAUACGGGCUAGCUAGAGUGUGGUAGGGGAGAUCGGAAUUCCUGGUGUAGCGGUGAAAUGCGCAGAUAUCAGGAGGAACACCGGUGGCGAAGGCGGAUCUCUGGGCCAUUACUGACGCUGAGGAGCGAAAGCGUGGGGAGCGAACAGGAUUAGAUACCCUGGUAGUCCACGCCGUAAACGGUGGGAACUAGGUGUUGGCGACAUUCCACGUCGUCGGUGCUGCAGCUAACGCAUUAAGUUCCCCGCCUGGGGAGUACGGCCGCAAGGCUAAAACUUAAGGAAUUGACGG
This 567-nucleotide ribosomal RNA is filed under the name uncultured bacterium. Its description in RNAcentral is "bacterial SSU rRNA". It matches the Rfam family "Bacterial small subunit ribosomal RNA", at positions 338 to 916 of the family's 1533-position model. The record is from RNAcentral.